UCAGAAAAAUACUGUUCUCAGCGUCUUUCCUGGAUUAACCAGAGUAACGGGGAAGUUGUCUCAGAAAAUAAAUGUCGCAUGUGUAAUAGGCCGAUAGUGUUGGAACAUCAUAACAACUUAUUCACCGGUAUCAUAUACUGGGGUAACGUUAGCGACAGAUCUCACAUAAAUAUAUCUGAAAACAAAGCCAACCUCCAGCUGUUUGCACAGCGAGAUACCACUAGAGGCUCAGUGGUUUUGGCCUCUUUGAUACCUUGUGAAGACCAUCCCAGGCGGAGUUUACCAUACAGGGGAAUCAAAUGCGCAGCUACACACGAUUCUGACAUACAAGGUCACUCAUCAGGGAGCCAAGGUUUGGCUCGGACUCUAAACACAGCCAGCACUCAACCUGAAGCCUGCCUUCUCCUCUGAUCUGCUGACUCACUCUGCACAUAGUGGACCAUUGAGUCCAGGAGGGAGGAAUACCAGCAAGAGGUAGACCGUGUAGCUGAAAGGCUUGGAGAUGACAGGUACAGCAGUACAGAAGCUUUGCUGUUUUUUUAAGCAGAGAGCAAGCACUCAGGGGUUACAAACACCCACGCACAAAUAUUUUAGUGUGCAGACAAAUAUUUUUGUGUGUGGGUGUUUGUAACUGUAACACACAUACAGAGAGAGGGAGAGCACAAGAGCAUAUUUUCUAUUUUCCAUGCCCUGGGCGUUAGACAUACCAGGAGCGACAGAAAUCUCGCCAAGUGGGAUAAGAUCAUAAAACUGCAGAGGCACUCUCCUCUCAUUUUCAACUAAAUGGAUAAAAUGGUGUCAGCAUGUUACUGCGAGCCCCUCCGGAUCUGAAUUGCUGGCAGGACUAUAAACUAAAGCAGUUACUCCAUGACAGACACUGAAUCCUUUCCCAUCAAGAAAUAUUUCAUUUGAAAUGGUGUAGCAAUUGCAAAAAAUAUCAGAAAAUAAAGUAAG
Molecule: long non-coding RNA, 954 nt
Organism: Perca fluviatilis (European perch)
Lineage: Eukaryota; Metazoa; Chordata; Actinopteri; Perciformes; Percidae
Exons: 3
Source: RefSeq, a predicted model, not a curated record